Long non-coding RNA from Haliotis rubra (blacklip abalone), 186 nucleotides. RefSeq lists it as uncharacterized. The transcript is spliced from 3 exons. Lineage: Eukaryota; Metazoa; Mollusca; Gastropoda; Lepetellida; Haliotidae. The record is from RefSeq and is a predicted model, not a curated record.
GAACAUUGUGUAAAGCUCGUGAGUGUCACUGUGCAAGCGACGGAUGUGAUGCCGACUUCCGGUGCCCAAGUGGCUGUCUCCAGGGCUGGUCAGGCCCCACUUGUCAGAGACGAAAUAUAGCUCUGAACAAACCAACAGAACAAAGCGGCACUGUCAAUGACUGUCGGUGGGCGAACACAGACGCCA